Molecule: long non-coding RNA, 209 nt
Filed under: Physcomitrium patens
Lineage: Eukaryota; Viridiplantae; Streptophyta; Bryopsida; Funariales; Funariaceae
Description: long non-coding RNA (PPAT_LNC008021)
Source: RNAcentral
UAUAUAUAUUACAAUUUGAAAUAUGCUUAUAGCUUAAAAAAUAAAAAAAUAGUUAGCUAGAAGAAAGUAUUAGAAAAAUUGAUGAGUCUCAAUUUUGCUCUAUAUUACUAAAAUUUCAUUUAAGAAAGAACUUUUGUAAAGAUAUCUAUAAAUUAAAAAUUCGUAGGAAUAUAAUUUAAAUUAUUUUCUCCAUAUGCUAAAAUUUCUUU